CCAGGGCACGGAUCCAUGAACU
RNAcentral lists this microRNA (22 nucleotides) under Bos taurus (domestic cattle). RNAcentral's name for it is "bta-miR-2425-5p". The record is from miRBase by way of RNAcentral. Lineage: Eukaryota; Metazoa; Chordata; Mammalia; Artiodactyla; Bovidae.